UUUCUUAAAGGAAUUUUUAACCUGAUCACCAGAUUAUCUACAAGGGAAUUUUUUUAAUUUUUAAAAUUCCCUUAUGGGUAAUCUGGUGAUCAGGUUAGAUGGCUCC
MicroRNA precursor from Theropithecus gelada (gelada), 106 nucleotides. Lineage: Eukaryota; Metazoa; Chordata; Mammalia; Primates; Cercopithecidae. The record is from Ensembl.